GACGAACGCUGUCGGCGUGCUUAACACAUGCAAGUCGAACGGAAAGGCCCUGCUUUUGUGGGGUGCUCGAGUGGCGAACGGGUGAGUAACACGUGAGUAACCUGCCCUUGACUUUGGGAUAACUUCAGGAAACUGGGGCUAAUACCGGAUAGGAGCUCCUGCUGCAUGGUGGGGGUUGGAAAGUUUCGGCGGUUGGGGAUGGACUCGCGGCUUAUCAGCUUGUUGGUGGGGUAGUGGCUUACCAAGGCUUUGACGGGUAGCCGGCCUGAGAGGGUGACCGGCCACAUUGGGACUGAGAUACGGCCCAGACUCCUACGGGAGGCAGCAGUGGGGAAUAUUGCACAAUGGGCGGAAGCCUGAUGCAGCAACGCCGCGUGCGGGAUGACGGCCUUCGGGUUGUAAACCGCUUUCGCCUGUGACGAAGCGUGAGUGACGGUAAUGGGUAAAGAAGCACCGGCUAACUACGUGCCAGCAGCCGCGGUGAUACGUAGGGUGCGAGCGUUGUCCGGAUUUAUUGGGCGUAAAGGGCUCGUAGGUGGUUGAUCGCGUCGGAAGUGUAAUCUUGGGGCUUAACCCUGAGCGUGCUUUCGAUACGGGUUGACUUGAGGAAGGUAGGGGAGAAUGGAAUUCCUGGUGGAGCGGUGGAAUGCGCAGAUAUCAGGAGGAACACCAGUGGCGAAGGCGGUUCUCUGGGCCUUUCCUGACGCUGAGGAGCGAAAGCGUGGGGAGCGAACAGGCUUAGAUACCCUGGUAGUCCACGCUGUAAACGGUGGGUACUAGGUGUGGGGUCCAUUCCACGGGUUCCGUGCCGUAGCUAACGCUUUAAGUACCCCGCCUGGGGAGUACGGCCGCAAGGCUAAAACUCAAAGGAAUUGACGGGGCCCCGCACAAGCGGCGGAGCAUGCGGAUUAAUUCGAUGCAACGCGUAGAACCUUACCUGGGUUUGACAUGGAUCGGGAGCGCUCAGAGAUGGGUGUGCCUCUUUUGGGGUCGGUUCACAGGUGGUGCAUGGCUGUCGUCAGCUCGUGUCGUGAGAUGUUGGGUUAAGUCCCGCAACGAGCGCAACCCUUGUUCACUGUUGCCAGCACGUUAUGGUGGGGACUCAGUGGAGACCGCCGGGGUCAACUCGGAGGAAGGUGGGGAUGACGUCAAGUCAUCAUGCCCCUUAUGUCUAGGGCUUCACGCAUGCUACAAUGGCUGGUACAGAGAGUGGCGAGCCUGUGAGGGUGAGCGAAUCUCGGAAAGCCGGUCUCAGUUCGGAUUGGGGUCUGCAACUCGACCUCAUGAAGUCGGAGUCGCUAGUAAUCGCAGAUCAGCAACGCUGCGGUGAAUACGUUCCCGGGGCU
Molecule: ribosomal RNA, 1346 nt
Filed under: uncultured bacterium
Lineage: Bacteria
Description: bacterial SSU rRNA
Rfam family: Bacterial small subunit ribosomal RNA
Source: RNAcentral